RNAcentral lists this ribosomal RNA (446 nucleotides) under uncultured bacterium. RNAcentral's name for it is "SSU rRNA". It matches the Rfam family "Bacterial small subunit ribosomal RNA", at positions 26 to 518 of the family's 1533-position model. The record is from RNAcentral.
AGAACGAACGCUGGCGGCAGGCUUAACACAUGCAAGUCGAGCGCUGUAGCAAUACAGAGCGGCGCACGGGAGAGUAAUACAUGGGAACCUUCCUUUAGGUUCGGGAUAACGUCGGGAAACUGACGCUAAUACCGGAUACGUCCUUAGGGAGAAAGAUUUAUCGCCUUUAGAUGGGCCCAUGUUGGAUUAGCUAGUUGGUGAGGUAACGGCUCACCAAGGCUACGAUCCAUAGCGGGUCUGAGAGGAUGAUCCGCCUCACUGGGACUGAGACACGGCCCAGACUCCUACGGGAGGCAGCAGUGGGGAAUAUUGGACAAUGGGGGCAACCCUGAUCCAGCCAUGCCGCGUGAGUGAUGAAGGCCUUCGGGUUGUAAAGCUCUUUUGCAGGGGACGAUGAUGACGGUACCCUGAGAAUAAGCCCCGGCUAACUUCGUGCCAGCAGCCGC